This 102-nucleotide small nucleolar RNA is filed under the name Cephalotus follicularis. RNAcentral describes it as "Plant small nucleolar RNA R71". It matches the Rfam family "Plant small nucleolar RNA R71". Rfam says of the family: R71 is a member of the C/D box family of snoRNAs containing the C (UGAUGA) and D (CUGA) box motifs. Multiple nearly identical copies of this snoRNA have been identified in Arabidopsis, and it is thought to function as a 2'-O-ribose methylation guide for 18S ribosomal RNA. The record is from Rfam by way of RNAcentral. Lineage: Eukaryota; Viridiplantae; Streptophyta; Magnoliopsida; Oxalidales; Cephalotaceae.
AUGGCAUGAUGGGGGCAUUUUCUGAUGAGGUCCAUUAAUCUUUCCCAUGCCUCAUGGAACUGCUCACCAUUUUGCGGCGAGAAGCUAGUGAGAGCUCGCCUU